Leopardus geoffroyi (Geoffroy's cat) is the source of this 959-nucleotide long non-coding RNA. RefSeq lists it as uncharacterized. NCBI's taxonomy places the organism in Eukaryota, Metazoa, Chordata, Mammalia, Carnivora, Felidae. The transcript is spliced from 3 exons. The record is from RefSeq and is a predicted model, not a curated record.
GCGUGGUUGAUGACGUCGUCCUGCGGUCCUGGUGCCUCUAAAUCCUCCUCAGACAUCUGGAUUUCUGCUCUUUGUGCUUCAGCCUUCACCCCACCGGAUCCAGGCGGGGUCUCCCACCUCCUUCUGUUACCGUUUUCUCAUCGUGCCGAUGAGUUUCAGAGUCCUUUGGGGUCCUUUUCAAAAAAAAUCAUAUAAAAAUAUAUGUAUCAAUAUUACCAACCAUAUCGAUACAAAUAGGCAUCACCUAAAAGGUACCAUUGUAACCAUUUUCAAGUGCAUGAAGCACAUUCACCUGUUGGGCAGCCACCACCGUCAGCUCGGGAACUUUUCACUUGCAAAGCUGAAACUCUGUCCCCAUUAAAUGAUAACGUCCCCCUUCCCCUCCCCCACCCCAGCCCCUGCCGCCACCAUCUCUAUGACUCUGAUGAUUUCAGGUCCUUCACAGGAGUGGAAUUAUACAGUAUGUGUCUUUUUGCGCCUGGCAUAUUUCAUUUGGCAGACUGUCCUCAAGGUUUAUCUGUGUUGCAACAGGUGUCAGAGUUCCGUUCCUUUUUAACGCUGAAUAAUACCCCAUGGUGUGUAUAUACCUCAUUUCGUUUAUCCGUUCGUCUGUCGCUGGACAUCCGGGCUGCUUCACCAUUUGGCUGUUCUGUCACCUUGGUCCCUGUGGGCGAGGUCAAAGGUCAGGAAUGGAGUGGAGCACAGCCACCGUGCAGCCCUGAACUGCUAACAUUUGGCCUUUCAUGUGAAAGAGAACCAAGCAGCUGUCUGUUCGAGCCAUUGUUACUUGCAGGCAAAUCCAGUCCUCACUGAUGAGCAAGAGUGGAAUCCUCCGCAGCCGUGAAGACUGGUCCCGAGCCGGAAACCAACAUGGGUGAAAGAAGCCGGACGUGAAGGGAUACACGGCGCUGAAUGAUUCCAUCCUAGGACGGACCGGAGCAGGCAAAAGUAGGAUACUG